RNAcentral lists this ribosomal RNA (1530 nucleotides) under Escherichia coli O104:H4 str. C236-11. RNAcentral describes it as "bacterial SSU rRNA". It matches the Rfam family "Bacterial small subunit ribosomal RNA". The record is from RNAcentral. RNAcentral also lists the same sequence under 1 other name. Lineage: Bacteria; Pseudomonadati; Pseudomonadota; Gammaproteobacteria; Enterobacterales; Enterobacteriaceae.
AGAGUUUGAUCAUGGCUCAGAUUGAACGCUGGCGGCAGGCCUAACACAUGCAAGUCGAACGGUAACAGGAAACAGCUUGCUGUUUCGCUGACGAGUGGCGGACGGGUGAGUAAUGUCUGGGAAACUGCCUGAUGGGGGGGGAUAACUACUGGAAACGGUAGCUAAUACCGCAUAACGUCGCAAGACCAAAGAGGGGGACCUUCGGGCCUCUUGCCAUCGGAUGUGCCCAGAUGGGAUUAGCUUGUUGGUGGGGUAACGGCUCACCAAGGCGACGAUCCCUAGCUGGUCUGAGAGGAUGACCAGCCACACUGGAACUGAGACACGGUCCAGACUCCUACGGGAGGCAGCAGUGGGGAAUAUUGCACAAUGGGCGCAAGCCUGAUGCAGCCAUGCCGCGUGUAUGAAGAAGGCCUUCGGGUUGUAAAGUACUUUCAGCGGGGAGGAAGGGAGUAAAGUUAAUACCUUUACUCAUUGACGUUACCCGCAGAAGAAGCACCGGCUAACUCCGUGCCAGCAGCCGCGGUAAUACGGAGGGUGCAAGCGUUAAUCGGAAUUACUGGGCGUAAAGCGCACGCAGGCGGUUUGUUAAGUCAGAUGUGAAAUCCCCGGGCUCAACCUGGGAACUGCAUCUGAUACUGGCAAGCUUGAGUCUCGUAGAGGGGGGUAGAAUUCCAGGUGUAGCGGUGAAAUGCGUAGAGAUCUGGAGGAAUACCGGUGGCGAAGGCGGCCCCCUGGACGAAGACUGACGCUCAGGUGCGAAAGCGUGGGGAGCAAACAGGAUUAGAUACCCUGGUAGUCCACGCCGUAAACGAUGUCGACUUGGAGGUUGUGCCCUUGAGGCGUGGCUUCCGGAGCUAACGCGUUAAGUCGACCGCCUGGGGAGUACGGCCGCAAGGUUAAAACUCAAAUGAAUUGACGGGGGCCCGCACAAGCGGUGGAGCAUGUGGUUUAAUUCGAUGCAACGCGAAGAACCUUACCUGGUCUUGACAUCCACAGAACUUUCCAGAGAUGGAUUGGUGCCUUCGGGAGCUGUGAGACAGGUGCUGCAUGGCUGUCGUCAGCUCGUGUUGUGAAAUGUUGGGUUAAGUCCCGCAACGAGCGCAACCCUUAUCCUUUGUUGCCAGCGGUCCGGCCGGGAACUCAAAGGAGACUGCCAGUGAUAAACUGGAGGAAGGUGGGGAUGACGUCAAGUCAUCAUGGCCCUUACGACCAGGGCUACACACGUGCUACAAUGGCGCAUACAAAGAGAAGCGACCUCGCGAGAGCAAGCGGACCUCAUAAAGUGCGUCGUAGUCCGGAUUGGAGUCUGCAACUCGACUCCAUGAAGUCGGAAUCGCUAGUAAUCGUGGAUCAGAAUGCCACGGUGAAUACGUUCCCGGGCCUUGUACACACCGCCCGUCACACCAUGGGAGUGGGUUGCAAAAGAAGUAGGUAGCUUAACCUUCGGGAGGGCGCUUACCACUUUGUGAUUCAUGACUGGGGUGAAGUCGUAACAAGGUAACCGUAGGGGAACCUGCGGUUGGAUCACCU